AGCAGCCGCGGUAAUUCCAGCUCCAAUAGCGUAUAUUAAAGUUGCUGCAGUUAAAAAGCUCGUAGUUGAAUUUCGGGAUCAAUAUGUUGGUCGUGCCUCGGUACGUACUAGCUUAUUGGUUUCUCCCUUCUGACGAACCAUGAUGUCAUUUAUUUGGUGUUAUGGGGAAUCAGGACUGUUACUUUGAAAAAAUUAGAGUGUUUAAAGCAGGCUCACGCUUGAAUACAUUAGCAUGGAAUAAUGAAAUAGGACGUUUGAUUCUAUUUUGUUGGUUUCUAGGAUCGACGUAAUGAUUAAUAGGGAUAGUUAGGGGCAUUAGUAUUCAAUUGUCAGAGGUGAAAUUCUUGGAUUUAUUGAAGACUAACUACUGCGAAAGCAUUUGCCAAGGAUGUUUUCAUUAAUCAAGAACGAAAGUUAGGGGAUCGAAGACGAUCAGAUACCGUCGUAGUCUUAACCAUAAACUAUGCCGACUAGGGAUCGGAUGAUGUUAAUUUUUAAUUGA
Molecule: ribosomal RNA, 502 nt
Filed under: uncultured Glomus
Lineage: Eukaryota; Fungi; Glomeromycota; Glomeromycetes; Glomerales; Glomeraceae
Description: SSU rRNA
Rfam family: Eukaryotic small subunit ribosomal RNA
Source: RNAcentral